AACGAACGCUGGCGGCAUGCCUAACACAUGCCAGUCGAACGGAACCUUCCUGUCUAUUUGCGCACCUCUGCUUAACGCCUGGUAACUUACCCUUAGGUUCGCAAUCACUCCCCUAAGGAUAUGCUCAUACCACUUAAUGUCUUCGCACCAAAGAUUUCUCGCCUUUGGAUGGGCGCUCGUUGGAUUAGCUAGUUGGUAGGGUAAAAGCCUACCAAGGCGACGUUGCAUAGCUGGUCUGAGAGGAUGAUCAGCUACAAUGGGACUGAGACACGGACCAGACUCCGACGGGAGGGAGCAGUGGGGAAUAUUGGAGAAUGGGCGAAAGUCUGAUACAGCAAUGCCGGGGGAGUGAGGAAGGGCGUAGGGUUGUAAAGCUGUUUUACACGGGAUGAUAAUGACAGUACCGGGAGAAUAAGCUCCGGCUAACUCCGUG
This 433-nucleotide ribosomal RNA is filed under the name uncultured bacterium. RNAcentral's name for it is "partial 16S ribosomal RNA". It matches the Rfam family "Bacterial small subunit ribosomal RNA", at positions 29 to 507 of the family's 1533-position model. The record is from RNAcentral.